UACGUAGGGUGCAAGCGUUGUCCGGAAUUACUGGGCGUAAAGGGCUCGUAGGCGGCCAACUAAGUCCGACGUGAAAUCCCCAGGCUCAACCUGGGAACUGCGUCGGAUACUGGAUGGCUUGAAUUCGGGAGAGGGAUGCAGAAUUCCAGGUGUAGCGGUGAAAUGCGUAGAUAUCGGGAGGAACACCAGUGGCGAAGGCAGCUCGCUGGGACGUUACUGACGCUGAGACACGAAAGCGUGGGGAGCAAACAGG
Molecule: ribosomal RNA, 253 nt
Filed under: uncultured bacterium
Lineage: Bacteria
Description: partial 16S ribosomal RNA
Rfam family: Bacterial small subunit ribosomal RNA
Source: RNAcentral